AUAAUCAAACCUUUACCAUAAUCAAACUAGUUAUAAAACUAUGCCUGUCCAUUCAUGCAACUUCAUAAAUAUGAUUAUGCAUCAUAAAACUUUUGCCAUUUAUGCAUCGUAAAACUUUUGUCAUUUAUGCAUCAUAAAACUUUUGCCAUUUAUGCAACAUAAAACUUUUGCCAUUUAUGCAACAUAAAACUUUUGCAAUUAUUCCAUACUUUGAAAUUCAUACUCUCAGAUGGUAGUGUAGCUAUGGCCGCUCUUAUUCCCACGGCAAGGCCUUUACCACUGCAGGGUCAUCUUCCAGUUACUAUUACCCACUGGCGGGGGUCGUAAAGCCAAGUUACUUUUACCCACUGGCGGGGUUAUAUGCCUAGUUA
This 371-nucleotide long non-coding RNA is filed under the name Phoenix dactylifera (date palm). Its description in RNAcentral is "long non-coding RNA (PDAC_LNC022656)". The record is from RNAcentral. Lineage: Eukaryota; Viridiplantae; Streptophyta; Magnoliopsida; Arecales; Arecaceae.